RNAcentral lists this transfer RNA (59 nucleotides) under Escherichia coli. RNAcentral describes it as "tRNA-Asp". It matches the Rfam family "tRNA", at positions 8 to 63 of the family's 71-position model. Rfam says of the family: Transfer RNA (tRNA) molecules are approximately 80 nucleotides in length. Their secondary structure includes four short double-helical elements and three loops (D, anti-codon, and T loops). Further hydrogen bonds mediate the characteristic L-shaped molecular structure. tRNAs have two regions of fundamental functional importance: the anti-codon, which is responsible for specific mRNA codon recognition, and the 3' end, to which the tRNAs corresponding amino acid is attached (by aminoacyl-tRNA synthetases). tRNAs cope with the degeneracy of the genetic code in two manners: having more than one tRNA (with a specific anti-codon) for a particular amino acid; and 'wobble' base-pairing, i.e. permitting non-standard base-pairing at the 3rd anti-codon position. RNAcentral also lists the same sequence under 2 other names. The record is from RNAcentral. Lineage: Bacteria; Pseudomonadati; Pseudomonadota; Gammaproteobacteria; Enterobacterales; Enterobacteriaceae.
UAGUUCAGUCGGUUAGAAUACCUGCCUGUCACGCAGGGGGUCGCGGGUUCGAGUCCCGU